AUUGAACGCUGGCGGCAGGCCUAACACAUGCAAGUCGAACGGUAGCACAGAGAGCUUGCUCUCGGGUGACGAGUGGCGGACGGGUGAGUAACGUCUGGGAAACUGCCCGAUGGAGGGGGAUAACUACUGGAAACGGUAGCUAAUACCGCAUAACGUCGCAAGACCAAAGUGGGGGACCUUCGGGCCUCACACCAUCGGAUGUGCCCAGAGGGGAUUAGCUAGUAGGUGGGGUAAUGGCUCACCUAGGCGACGAUCCCUAGCUGGUCUGAGAGGGUGACCAGCCACACUGGAACUGAGACACGGUCCAGACUCCUACGGGAGGCAGCAGUGGGGAAUAUUGCACAAUGGGCGCAAGCCUGAUGCAGCCAUGCCGCGUGUAUGAAGAAGGCCUUCGGGUUGUAAAGUACUUUCAGCGGGGAGGAAGGCGGUGAAGUUAAUAGCUUCACCGAUUGACGUUACCCGCAGAAGAAGCACCGGCUAACUCCGUGCCAGCAGCCGCCGUAA
RNAcentral lists this ribosomal RNA (504 nucleotides) under uncultured bacterium. RNAcentral describes it as "partial 16S ribosomal RNA". It matches the Rfam family "Bacterial small subunit ribosomal RNA", at positions 29 to 523 of the family's 1533-position model. The record is from RNAcentral.